ACGCUCGACACCUACGGAGGCAGCAGUGGGGAAUAUUGCACAAUGGAGGGAAACUCUGAUGCAGCGAUGCCGCGUGAGGGAAGAAGGUUUUCGGAUUGUAAACCUCUGUCUUUGGGGACGAUAAUGACGGUACCCAAGGAGGAAGCUCCGGCUAACUACGUGCCAGCAGCCGUGGUAAUCUGAGCGGGCUGGCAAGGC
Molecule: ribosomal RNA, 198 nt
Filed under: uncultured bacterium
Lineage: Bacteria
Description: partial 16S ribosomal RNA
Rfam family: Bacterial small subunit ribosomal RNA
Source: RNAcentral